CAUUCAACGAUUUACAAAUUAUUGGUUAUUCUUUUAAAAGUCGAUCAUGAAUUCUUUGUUUUGGGAUGAUUGUUUUGUAAUCGCGUGAUUGGAAGAAGUUAAUAUGGCGACGUGAACAUGGGAGUAAAUACCACAUACGUCGAUCUAUGGCUUGUUUAAAACCGUAAUAAACGAAGAAAGACGUGAUUUGAGAAUGAAAUGUAAGUUGAAAUUAACUUUAUAUGCCUCAAAUUUUCCAUCCUAUGUUUCUUAAUGUAACUUCAGCUGUCUAAGUUCAAAAUACAAGCUCGCGAAAUUUGACAAAUUUUGAAAAUAUGUAAAAAUAGCUUGACUUUGAACUGUA
This is a non-coding RNA of Paramuricea clavata, 343 nucleotides long. NCBI's taxonomy places the organism in Eukaryota, Metazoa, Cnidaria, Anthozoa, Malacalcyonacea, Plexauridae. The record is from the annotation of a GenBank genome assembly.